GCGGAGGAAAAGAAAAUAACAAUGAUUUCCCUAGUAACGGCGAGUGAAGAGGAAAGAGCUCAAAGUUGGAAACUGUUUGGCUUAGCUAAACCGUAUUGUAAACUGUAGAAACAUUUUCCUGGCACACCAGAUUAAUAAGUCCUUUGGAACAAGGCAUCAUGGAGGGUGAGAAUCCCGUCUUUGAUCUGAGUAGUUGUCUUUUGUGAUAUGUUUUCAAAGAGUCAGGUUGUUUGGGAAUGCAGCCUAAAUUGGGUGGUAAAUCUCACCUAAAGCUAAAUAUUUGCGAGAGACCGAUAGCGAACAAGUACCGUGAGGGAAAGAUGAAAAGAACUUUGAAAAGAGAGUUAAACAGUAUGUGAAAUUGUUAAAAGGGAACCGUUUGGAGCCAGACUGGUUUGCUUGUAAUCAACCUAGAAUUCGUUUUGGGUGCACUUGCAGGCUAUACCUGCCAACAACAGUUUGAUUUGGAGGAAAAAAUUAAUAGGAAUGUAGCCUCUCGAGGUGUUAUAGCCUAUUAUCAUACUCUGGAUUGGACUGAGGAACGCAGCGAAUGCCUUUAGGCAAGAUUGCUGGGUGCUUUCGCUAAUAAAUGUUAGAAUUUCUGCUUCGGGUGGUGCUAAUGUUUAAAGGAGGAACACAUCUAGUAUAUUUUUUAUUCGCUUAGGUUGUUGGCUUAAUGACUCUAAAUGAC
Molecule: ribosomal RNA, 691 nt
Filed under: Mucor lusitanicus
Lineage: Eukaryota; Fungi; Mucoromycota; Mucoromycetes; Mucorales; Mucoraceae
Also listed under: 2 other names
Description: eukaryotic LSU rRNA
Rfam family: Eukaryotic large subunit ribosomal RNA
Source: RNAcentral